UACAGAGGGUGCGAGCGUUAAUCGGAAUUACUGGGCGUAAAGGGUGCGUAGGUGGUUUGAUAAGUUAGGUGUGAAAGUCCUGGGCUUAACCUGGGGAUUGCGCUUAAGACUGUUGAGCUAGAGUACUGUAGAGGAAGGUGGAAUUUCCGGUGUAGCAGUGAAAUGCGUAGAUAUCGGAAGGAACAUCAGUGGCGAAGGCGACUUUCUGGACAGAUACUGACACUGAGGCACGAAAGCGUGGGGAG
Molecule: ribosomal RNA, 245 nt
Filed under: uncultured Legionella sp.
Lineage: Bacteria; Pseudomonadati; Pseudomonadota; Gammaproteobacteria; Legionellales; Legionellaceae
Description: partial 16S ribosomal RNA
Rfam family: Bacterial small subunit ribosomal RNA
Source: RNAcentral